This 253-nucleotide ribosomal RNA is filed under the name uncultured microorganism. Its description in RNAcentral is "partial 16S ribosomal RNA". It matches the Rfam family "Bacterial small subunit ribosomal RNA", at positions 524 to 776 of the family's 1533-position model. The record is from RNAcentral.
UACGGAGGGUGCUAGCGUUACUCGGAAUCACUGGGCGUAAAGGGCGCGUAGGCGGCUAGGCAAGUCUGUGGUGAAAGCCCCGAGCUCAACCCUGGAAGGGCACUGGAAACUGCCUGGCUUGAGUUCCGGAGAGGAGGGGGGAAUUCCCGGUGUAGCGGUGAAAUGCGUAGAUAUCGGGAGGAAUACCGGUGGCGAAGGCGCCCCUCUGGACGGGUACUGACGCUGAGGCGCGAAAGCGUGGGGAGCAAACAGG